GACGAACGCUGGCGGCGUGCUUAACACAUGCAAGUCGAACGGAAAGGCCCCUUUGGGGGUACUCGCGUGGCGAACGGGUGUGUAACACGGGAGUAACCUGCCCUUGACUGCGGGAUAACUUCAGGAAACUGGGGCUAAUACCGGAUAGGAAUCCUUGCCGCAUGGUGGGGGUUGGAGAGCUUUGGCGGUUGUGGAUGGACUCGCGGCUUAUGAGCUUGUUUGUGGGGUAGUGGGUCACCAAGGCUGUCACGGGUCGCCGGCCUGAGAGGGAGAGCGGCCACAUUGGGACUGAGAUACGGCCCAGACUCCUAACGGAGGCAGCAGUGGGGAAUAUUGCACAAUGGGCGGAAGCCUGAUGCAGCAACGCCGCGUGCGGGAUGACGGCCUUCGGGUUGGAAAACGCUUUCAGCAGGGGCGAAGCUUGUGGUGACGGUACCUGCAGAAGAAGCACCGGCUAACUACGUG
Molecule: ribosomal RNA, 465 nt
Filed under: uncultured bacterium
Lineage: Bacteria
Description: partial 16S ribosomal RNA
Rfam family: Bacterial small subunit ribosomal RNA
Source: RNAcentral